Brachypodium distachyon (stiff brome) is the source of this 546-nucleotide long non-coding RNA. RefSeq lists it as uncharacterized. NCBI's taxonomy places the organism in Eukaryota, Viridiplantae, Streptophyta, Magnoliopsida, Poales, Poaceae. The record is from RefSeq and is a predicted model, not a curated record. The transcript is spliced from 2 exons.
UAGCUCUCAACUCACCAUAUUGAAAUAAAUGCCUCUGGCUUAGCUCUUGGACACUUGUGAGAACCAUACGAUGUGGAAGCUAUGCAGAGUUGCUUCCGGCCUCGUUAUCCGUCGGAGGUACGGCGUGCAGGCGAGGGCCGUGAAGGUGCCAACGGAAGUCGGUGCUGUGGCGGACAACGUACCGGGUGCUGCGGCGGUGGCCACUGACGGCGGGAGGGCAAGGAAAAAGGAAGUGUUUUGGAUGAGAGACCCGAAUACGGGGUGUUGGAUCCCCGAGAACCGCUUCGACGAGGUCGACGCCGUGGAGCUCCGGAACCAGCUGCUCCACCACAACUGACCGAAGAACAUGUCUGAACAAACAUACAAAGUGAAAUGGCAGUACAUCCGUUUCGAAAUAUGAGAUGUUUUACUUAUGUUCUAACAUAAAUAAAAUUAGAGUUAUACUCGUAUAUGUUAGUUGAUUUUUUUCAUAAACAUGAUUAAACUUUAAAAAGUUUAAUUGAGUAUUCCCUCCGUUCCAUAUUAAGUGACGAAAUAUUAUAUGUA